RNAcentral lists this ribosomal RNA (253 nucleotides) under uncultured bacterium. Its description in RNAcentral is "partial 16S ribosomal RNA". It matches the Rfam family "Bacterial small subunit ribosomal RNA", at positions 524 to 776 of the family's 1533-position model. The record is from RNAcentral.
UACGUAGGGGGCUAGCGUUGUCCGGAAUCAUUGGGCGUAAAGAGCGUGUAGGCGGUCCGGUAAGUCCGCUGUGAAAGUCGGGGGCUCAACCCUCGAAUGCCGGUGGAUACUGUCGGGCUAGAGUGCGGAAGAGGCGAGUGGAAUUCCUGGUGUAGCGGUGAAAUGCGCAGAUAUCAGGAGGAACACCAGUGGCGAAGGCGGGUCUCUGGGCCGAUACUGACGCUGAGGAGCGAAAGCGUGGGGAGCGAACAGG